RNAcentral lists this long non-coding RNA (762 nucleotides) under Panax ginseng (ginseng). RNAcentral's name for it is "long non-coding RNA (PGIN_LNC017500)". The record is from RNAcentral. Lineage: Eukaryota; Viridiplantae; Streptophyta; Magnoliopsida; Apiales; Araliaceae.
AUAAAUUCAGCAAGUAUUCAACCAAUUGGAUGUAGGAGUGUUCUUUGCAAAUAAAAAAGAGAUCGGUGUUGCGGGUAAGAUGUUCGACAAAAGUCCCGAACAAAGUGUUUACACUGAUGCAGUUAAUUUAAAACCUGUAGAUGGUUAUGACAUUCAAAGGAAGACUAUGAAAGAGGUAGACAAUGGUAAUGCAUUUUUAUUGUGGAUUCAAGUUCAGCAAUGAGCUUAGUCUCAAUAUGUGACUAAGGAAAAAAGAUACAUAUUUCAAUUAAAAUCUUCAAGGGUUAAUAAUCACACUAACAGUUGCAUAGAGAAUAAUUUUUGCAUCUACAAGUACAAAAAAAAUUACCCAUCUCAUCCUCUUCACUUGUUACAGAUUGCUUCAAAUGGGACAUGUAACGAUCAGGCAACUUUGAUAGAACAGAUUCCUCAAAGUGUUGUUCCAUAUCUUCCGUACGCCUAAAACCAUAUUAUAAAGUACAAAGAGUAAGAGAGUUGAAAUGUUUAAAAUCAUGAGAAAAUGAAAAGACUUCCUUUUGGCAAACUUUUGUUCCUGCUUAGAUAGCCGAUUCCCAACACUACUACAAAACAGUAUAUAGACAACGCGAAAAAAACGUUGUGGUUUCAGUCAAAAAAACGUCGUGGUUAAGGGUGUUGUCUAUUUGACACCCUUACACAACGUUUUUAAAACGUUGUAGUUAAGCACAAUACACAACGUUUUUUAGGAAAAAAAUAUUGUAGAUUUAUUUUCCAAAAAUUAGC